Molecule: ribosomal RNA, 253 nt
Filed under: uncultured bacterium
Lineage: Bacteria
Description: partial 16S ribosomal RNA
Rfam family: Bacterial small subunit ribosomal RNA
Source: RNAcentral
UACGUAGGGUGCAAGCGUUAAUCGGAAUUACUGGGCGUAAAGCGUGCGCAGGCGGUUUUGUAAGUUUGUCGUGAAAGCCCCGGGCUCAACCUGGGAAUUGCGAUGAAGACUGCAAGGCUUGAAUCUGGCAGAGGGGGGUAGAAUUCCACGUGUAGCAGUGAAAUGCGUAGAGAUGACGGAGGAACACCGAUGGCGAAGGCAGCCUUCUGGGCCAACACUGACGCUCAUGCACGAAAGCGUGGGGAGCAAACAG